Long non-coding RNA from Scylla paramamosain (green mud crab), 4316 nucleotides. RefSeq lists it as uncharacterized. Lineage: Eukaryota; Metazoa; Arthropoda; Malacostraca; Decapoda; Portunidae. The record is from RefSeq and is a predicted model, not a curated record. The transcript has 6 exons.
UACUGUCUACUUCACGUCUCCACGACAGUAUACGGUAGCUUCCUUCGAAUUCCGCUGCGAACACAUCACACUCACUCCUUUGUAUACCACACGUGUCUUUAUUCUUUCUUCUACACCCAUACCAAGAUUGUGUGUUUGUGUCUUGUCUUCAGUUAAAAAAAGUUCUCGCUAGCUACUGCAGAAAAAGGAGGAGGAAGAGAUAGUGUCUGUGUGUGAAUAACUGAGGGAUAGCAAGUGGGAGAAUAAGAACAGUGAAGAAUAAAAAGACACGUAAACCAGCACAACACGGAGGACAAACAAAUGAGGAAGAGGUAGUGAGUCUGUGUGUGAAUGAAUAACUGGGGCAUACCAAGUGAAGAAGACGAAGGAGGAGGAGGAGCAAGAAAAAUAAUUAAAGAGUUUGUGUGUGUGGGUAACUGUGACAUAAGAUGUGAACAAGAACUGUGCAUAAGGCAAACCAGUGGAACAUAACAAAACUAAAGACUCAUAAGAAGACGAUGAAGUAGAAGGAGUUUGAGUGUGUGUGGGUAACAGUGACAUAAGACGUGAACAAGAACAGUAAAUGAGGCAAACCAUUGGAACAUUACAAAACUAAAGACUCAUAAGAAGUAGGAGGAGAAAGGAAAAUUAAUUAUUGAGUGUGUGUGGAUAACUGUGGCAUUAAUAAAAUAAUAAGAACAUUAAAAUAUAACAAUAGUGAAAUAAUACAACAAACAAACAAAAGACAAAAAAUAACAAUAAGAAACAGAAAGAAAAAGAAGAAGGUAGUGAGAAUCUGUGUGAAUAACCGUACACAGAAGAAGAAAGAAAACGAAGAAAGAAAGAAAAGAGAAAACAACAGAAAGAAAAACGAAGAAAACAAGAUAAAAAAGAAAAGAAAAAAGAUAAAGGAGAAGAAAGUACAACAAGAUAAAGAAAGAACAAAAAUAAAACGAAGGAGAAGGAAGGACGGAAGGAAGGACAAAAAGACGAAGGAAAGAAGAAAGGACACAAACCAAUUCUCAACACCCACCACCACCACUAAAAUUUCCGCACCCUCAGUCACUGACCAACAGUUGUGAGACGUACUGCUCAUAGUUGCUGUCCAUUAUUAGCGUGGUACAUAGACUGUGGCCGCUGAGACUUGCAGAAAUGGGGAAGUGGGCCAGAUAUUCUAAGUGGUUCCAGUGUAGUUGGUUGAAAGAACCACAGUUUGGAAAGUGGCUUGUAGAAGUGAAACAUGAUGAUAAAAAAGCUUACUGUAAAGUGUGCAAAGCCGAACUCAGGGCACAUAAAAGUUAUCUGAAAAAACACAGUGAAACUGAGAAGCACAUUCAAAACAUGAAGAAAAUUCCUAGUGCUAAGCAAAUGAGUGUGAAAAGUCUCUUUCAGAAAGUUGACACAAAUAAGAAAUCUGAGAUUAAAUUGUCAGUUUACGUUGCUUGCCACUCUUCCAUUCAGUCAGUUGACCAUUUAAGUGAGUUAUGGAAUGAUCUGCCGUGUACUUCAAGUACUGAAAAGUUGCGGUUGCACAGAACAAAAUGUAGUGCACUUAUCAAAAAAGUAAUUUCACCAGCUUUACUUGCAGAGCAAGUUAGUGAUCUGAAAAAUUCUCCAUUUUCACUUACGAGUAUAUUGGAUGAGUCUACUGAUAUCGCAUGCGCAAAACAUUUGUGCGUAUGUGUCAGGUACUACAAUGUAAGGCUUAACAAAGUUGUGUCGCAAUUCCUAGGGCUUAUACCAGUCACAAGUGCAACAGCUGAAGCAAUAUAUCAGCAUGUGAAAGACUACUUUAAUGAAAUUGGAGUCAAUUUAAAUCACUGCUUUGCCAUAGGGACUGAUGGAGCUUCCAGCUUGUGUGGACAACACCACUCAUUCUACACACUUUUGAAAAAGGAUAUUCCAGAUUUAGUGUUAGUGAAGUGUGUCUGCCAUUCUCUGCAUCUGGUAUGCAGCCAUGCUUCAGAGAAAAUGCCAUCAAAUAUAGAUUAUAUGCUAAGAGAAACAUACAACUGGUUUCAUAGAUCAGCAAUCAGACGUGAAGCAUACCUUGACAUAUACAAACUGCUUAAUGAUGGUAAUGAGCCCCUACAGUUAGUACCUCUUUCUGGGACUAGAUGGCUAGCCAGAAGCAACAGUGUGAAAAGAGUUCUGGAUCAGUGGGAUGUUUUGAAGACACAUUUUGAAAUAGCUUCUUCAUCUUGUGGUAAAUAUCUAGCAAGGGAACUUCAUUCAAUGUAUGCUGAUCAUUCAAAUGAGUUGUAUUUCACUUUCUUGAAACCUGUUCUAAGUCAGUUUGAAAAGAUCAACCUUCUCUUUCAAAAAGAAGCAGCAGACCUUUGCAGUCUCUUGAAUGAAUUGGAAAAUCUAACAUUUUCAGUGCUCAGAAGAAUAAUUUAUCCAACGAGUGUAAAACUUGAUGUGGAUAUGAAUUUUAAGUCCAUUUUUCUUCCACUUGAAAAAGUAGACUUUGGGUACGAGUUUACUGUGCUUUUGGAAAACAAGAGGAAGAUGAACUUGAUUUCAGAGGAAAACAAGCAUGCCAUACAAGCUAGAUGUCACGCGUUUCUCGUAAAAGCAUCUGAAGAACUUCUUGCUCGUGUCCCACGUAACAUUGCAACCUUGAAACAGAUAAAAAAUCUAUCACCAGCAAUAUGUUUGAGCCACACAAGACCUCCAUUUUCUGAGCUUCCAUUAUCUCUGGCUGAACAAGCAAAACUCCCUGAGAUUGAAAACCAGUGGCGAACAGCCUUACAUACUGAUUGGCAUCAAAUAAUUGAAGGUGACAUACCUCAGGAUGGUUCAGUGUUCUGGUCCAAAUCUGCUACAUUAAAAAAUGCAGGUGGAGAACUCAUUAUGAAAGACCUGGCAGAAUUUGCUCUGAAAGUGUAUAGCCUUCCUAUUAGUAAUGCCUUAGUAGAGCGCGUAUUUUCAAAAGUAACUGCAGUUAAAACUAAAGUGAGAAAUCGUAUGGGUUUAGGACUCUUAACUUCUAUUCUACGAAUCAAAACCUCCCUGAAAGAAAAAGGCAUGUGCUGCAAUACAUUUGAGCCUCCAGUGUCCAUGCUGCAUUAUGAUUCAUCUAUAUAUAAGGAUGAAAAAAUAGAGGAGGACGAGGAAAACCUGCUACAAUCAUUGCAGCUGAUCUAAGAAAAUCUCUGGCCUCCUGCUUUUGGGAACCUUUCUGCUACUUUUGAUGAGUCUCAUCUGGCAACACUGGGCCAUCCCUCGGGCAGUCCCCCCCAAGAUUUAGCCUCGGGUGGGUGUACGCUGCCUUUGGUCCCUUUCCCUGCCUUUGUUCUACACUGUUUGUUCUCGCAAUACAGGAGAAGAGUGUAGGUAAAUAGUUUGUGAUCUCAAGAGAACACAAGAGUCCGUGAAAUGAAGAAGGACUGAGAAAAGUGUUGCCAUGACAGGCCAUGUUUGUCUGCCUGUCUGUCUGUCUGUCUGUCUGUCUAUCUGCCCAGGUGUUGCCAUGACAGGCCAGGUGAGUGCCCGCUAAUUACCAGGAGAAGAAAAAAGAAGAAAAGAGGAGGAGAAAGAGAAGAUGAAUGAAAUGGAGUCCAUCAUUACAGAAGGAGAGGAAGCAGAGGAAAAGGCAGUCCUAUACUUCUCAAGAAACUACAAGGUUCUUCUCUAUUUCACAUCUGUUAUACCUGAAGCUGCACCGGCUGGGCAUCAGUUGGUUCUCAGGUGAUCUGCUUUACUGAUCACACCCAUCAUCGUAGGGUCCAGGAAAGGCAGUUCUCUCCCUGACAUGUUUAUUGAUGAGGAGAAGAAAAAGAAGAAAAAAGAAGAGGAGGAGGAAGAGAAGAUGAAUAAAAUGGACUCAAUCAUUAGAAAGGGAGAGGGAGCAGAGGAAGCACCACCACCACCACUACUACUACAAGUACUACUAUUAACACCACCACUAAUACUACUACUACAGUUUUAAAUAUGCACACAAUGAGAGAGAGAGAGAGAGAGAGAGAGAGAGAGAGAGAGAGAGAGAGAGAGAGAGAGAGAGAGAGAGAGAGAGAGAGAGAGAGAGAGAGAGAGAGAGAGAGAGAGAGUUUAAGCUGUAAAUAGUAAGGUGUUUAAUGUUUCUUUUAUUUGCUGUCAUGUUGGUUUACUUAUUAUUAUUAUUAUUAUUAUUGUUGUUGUUGUUGUUGUUGUUGUUGUUGUUGUUGUUGUUAUAAUCAUCGUCAUCAUCAUCAUUACUAUAUUACCAUGAUCAUGAUGUUAUGUCAAGGAUUACAUCAGAUGCAAGUCAAUAAGUGAAUAAGGCCCUCCUCCUCCUCCUCCUCCUCCUCCUCCUCCUCCUCCUCCUCCUCCUCCUCCUCCUCCUCCUCCUUCCU